RNAcentral lists this ribosomal RNA (734 nucleotides) under uncultured bacterium. RNAcentral's name for it is "bacterial SSU rRNA". It matches the Rfam family "Bacterial small subunit ribosomal RNA", at positions 65 to 794 of the family's 1533-position model. The record is from RNAcentral.
AACGGCAGCACGGAGCUUGCUCUGGUGGCGAGUGGCGAACGGGUGAGUAAUAUAUCGGAACGUACCCUGGAGUGGGGGAUAACGUAGCGAAAGUUACGCUAAUACCGCAUACGAUCUACGGAUGAAAGUGGGGGAUCGCAAGACCUCAUGCUCGUGGAGCGGCCGAUAUCUGAUUAGCUAGUUGGUAGGGUAAAAGCCUACCAAGGCAUCGAUCAGUAGCUGGUCUGAGAGGACGACCAGCCACACUGGAACUGAGACACGGUCCAGACUCCUACGGGAGGCAGCAGUGGGGAAUUUUGGACAAUGGGCGCAAGCCUGAUCCAGCAAUGCCGCGUGAGUGAAGAAGGCCUUCGGGUUGUAAAGCUCUUUUGUCAGGGAAGAAACGGUGGGAGCUAAUAUCUCCUGCUAAUGACGGUACCUGAAGAAUAAGCACCGGCUAACUACGUGCCAGCAGCCGCGGUAAUACGUAGGGUGCAAGCGUUAAUCGAAAUUACUGGGCGUAAAGCGUGCGCAGGCGGUUUUGUAAGUCUGAUGUGAAAUCCCCGGGCUCAACCUGGGAAUUGCAUUGGAGACUGCAAGGCUAGAAUCUGGCAGAGGGGGGUAGAAUUCCACGUGUAGCAGUGAAAUGCGUAGAUAUGUGGAGGAACACCGAUGGCGAAGGCAGCCCCCUGGGUCAAGAUUGACGCUCAUGCACGAAAGCGUGGGGAGCAAACAGGAUUAGAUACCCUGGUAGU